GUGCAGCAGGCGAGAAUCCUCCGUAAUGCUCGAAAGAGCGACGGGGGACUCCAAGUGCCUACGCUCAGCGUAGGCUGUUCCCGAGCCUAAAAGCUCGGGAGUAAGGCUGGGUAAGACGGGUGCCAGCCGCCGCGGUAAUACCGCAGCCCGAGUGGUGGCCGCUAUUAUUGGGCCUAAAGCGUCCGUAGCCGGCUCGGUAAAUGCCUGGGUAAAUCGUCUGGCCCAACCAG
Molecule: ribosomal RNA, 230 nt
Filed under: uncultured microorganism
Description: partial 16S ribosomal RNA
Rfam family: Archaeal small subunit ribosomal RNA
Source: RNAcentral